UUAUUGAAAAUGCGAAUAUUUAUGCUUGAGUAGUAGUAGUUAUGUUCUUGAAAUUUAAAAAAUCUGGCGGUAUUUUAGUCUAUUCAGAGGAACCUGUCCUGUAAUUGAUAAUCCACGAUUAAUCAUACUUAUUUUUAGUUUGUAUAUCGUCGUAGUUUGAAUGUUUUUAAAAAAAUGGUAAUGUUCAAAAUUUAUAUAAAAAUAAAAAAAAUCAGAUCAAGAUACAGCGUAUAAAUAAGAAGAGAUGGGUUACAAUAAAUAUAUUUAAAUGGUUAUAAUAAUUAAAAUUAUUUUAUAAAGUGGAUUUGAUAGUAAUAUGAUUUAAUUUAAUUGUAUGAUUUUAGCUCUAAAAUAUGUACAUAUCGCCCGUCGCUCCUUCCUUAAAGAAGGAUAAGUC
This 397-nucleotide ribosomal RNA is filed under the name Cyclocephala stictica. RNAcentral's name for it is "partial 12S ribosomal RNA". Lineage: Eukaryota; Metazoa; Arthropoda; Insecta; Coleoptera; Scarabaeidae. The record is from RNAcentral.